Molecule: RNA transcript, 6044 nt
Organism: Eriocheir sinensis (Chinese mitten crab)
Lineage: Eukaryota; Metazoa; Arthropoda; Malacostraca; Decapoda; Varunidae
Gene name: carboxylesterase 4A-like
Exons: 14
Source: RefSeq, a predicted model, not a curated record
GGAUAUAUAAUGUAUUUCUUUUCACUCUGGCUUGUGUACUUGCAUCCAAACUUGGGCGGGCGAGAAUGUAGGCCACGAGCGAGCCCUGUUUGUUUGUUUGUUUGCAGGAAUGUGUUGGUGAUGCAGAAACAAUCCCGACCUUCUCCAAAGCCUCCCUCUCCCAUUAGCCUGUCGAGUACACGAGGACGCAUCAUGCACUCAAGAGUCUGCGUGCGCUCUUCGACAUGCGUGUGUGCGAGUGCGUGCGAGGGCGGCGAGCAGGUGGGGGGAGGCGGAGGGAGGUAGGAGAGCGCCCGGCCGGCCAGUCUCGCUCGACCCUCCGAAGUGGAAGGAUCACGCACGGUUCUCUCUCGCCCUUUAAGCCUAGUGUCGAGGCUCCCCGUAGCGCCUGGGCCACCUGGGGGCUGUGCAGUGUGUUUUUUGUCCCCCCUCGUGCCCGUUACCCCCCUAACUGAGGCGCUUCCGGUCUUUAUUAAGCGAUAACGCGAAAAAACGUUAUUACCUAGCGACUGCGGCCCACAAACGUUUUUCACGGUUGACUGGUUUUCUGAUAAUGUUUUUCGCGCAUGAAAUCAACUAAAAAAAAAAGAGGCUCGCAUAAGUCGGACAGUGAAAGGCAAUUAGAUACCAUUAAAAGGACUUACUUCUCGGUCGCCGAAAUAUUGGCAAAAGGAAAUGGACCAUAAAACCCUCAUUUUGUUCUUUCAGGUUUGUUAACUCUCGCUAAAUUGAAAGGCAUUGGUUUAGAUAUUGCGUGCCCGAGGAGGCGGUGUUGUGGGGGAGUGGCGGGAGUGCAGUGUUGCGAGCGGCCAUCACCUGCGACUCACCUGUCACAUUAGAGCUCCUGAGUGCCGGCGCCGCCCCGCCCCGCCAGGUGUGACAGGAAGGAAUAAUUGCACUGCAGCACCUGCCGUAGUGAGGUAAUGGCGUCGUGAACCCCAAGACGAGAGGCGGCGCGGGAGCCAAGGCGAACCGGAUCGAGGGGAAGGCGGCAGUGACGUCACGCGGCAGGUCAAGAGAGGGCCCCGCCAUGCCCCGCCUUGCCCCGCCCCGCUAAGAUGUCGACUCCCCAGCAGCAUGGCCAGCAGCAAAGGGACGCCGCACUGAGAGCCUCGCACGCCCCUUCCUUCUACUCAUCCCCUGCCCAUCGAACCGCACAGACCUGAGCCUUUGCCUCCCUCAUUACCUCCAGCCGCCCCCCGCGCCUACAUGUCGGAGGGCUGAGGGCAGGCGGAGGGCGGAGGCGAGGGCGUGAUGGUGGUAUGACCCCGUGGGCGUGGGCGUGGCUGGUGGUGUUGGCCGCCACAUGGCAGGGCGCGCAGGCUGCAGCUCCGAAGAAGACUCGCCUGGUCACCACAAAGUACGGCCAGGUGCAGGGGCUCAUCAGGCACCUGGGCCAACAUCUCGGUGACGUGGAGGUGUUCAUGGGUGUUCCGUAUGCGGCUCCUCCCUUGGAAGAGGGGCGCUUCACCCCCACCAACACCCCAACGCCCUGGGAGGGGGUGUUGGAUUCAACUUCCCCGCCGCCGGUGUGUCCCCAGCUGCUGCCGGAUCCUGACGAGGCCAACAUGCCGCGGGCCAGGGCGGACUUCAUUAGGAAGGUGUCGGCGGCGCUGGCCAAUCAGAGUGAGGACUGCCUCACCGUCAACAUCUACAGCCCCAUCAUGGUGAUCCCCGGCUCGGAGGUGUACCCGGUGAUGGUGUACGUACACGGCGAGAGCUUCAGCUGGGGCGCCGGCUCGCUCUUCGACGGGUCUGUCCUCGCUGCCUACGCGAGAGUCGUGGUCAUCACCCUCAACUACCGCCUCGGGCCUCUAGGAUUCCUCAACACCUACGGCGGCGGCGGAGGCGGCGUGGUGAGCAACUUCGCCCUGAUGGACCAGAUCACUGCUCUCAACUGGGUGGCGGAGAACAUCAAGCAGUUCAACGGUGACGAGGCGAGGGUGACACUCUUCGGGCGGGACACCGGCGCCGCGUGCAUCUCCUACCUCAUGGAGAGUCCCAUCGUGCCACAAGGGCUGUUUCACCGUGUGGUGAUGGUGUCGGGGUGGUCGGGGUGCCCGUGGUCCAGGGUCGCUGCGCCCCUCAGCGUCACCCUCAGGCUGGCCGUGGCCGCCGGGUGUCCGGUGCCAGACGACCCCAACGCCGCCCAUCCCAGGACGGUGUCGUGCCUCCGCGACGCUCCCCUCCAGGACCUCAUGACCGCCGCCAGGCAAGUAGAGUCUCCAGCCUUCAUGCCGGCGUGGGGCCCAAGCGAGGACGGCGUGGUGGUGGCGGGGGCGAGGCGCGGGUCGUCGCUGGGGCGCCAACAUGACGUGCAGGUGAUGCUAGGGUUCACGCCCUGGGAGGCUUGGUCUUGGCUGGGGGAGAGUCUGGUGGGCCAGGGCGUGGACGAUAGAGCCUUUGAGCGUGUGGCGAGAACGUGGGUGAGGAACACACGCCGCCACCAUCUGCGGGAGGUGUUGGCAGCCACGCUGCAGGAGUACACGGAUUGGACGGCGAUCAAACAGGGGCCGGAGGUGCGCCGGAACCUUCUUCUCCACCUGCUGGGCGACGCAGGGGUGGUGGCGCCCCUACACCAGGCGGCCGACGCCCUUGCACACCACACCAAAGUCUUCGUUUUCAUCUGUGACCUCGAGAGCCAACUCUCCGGCGAGCUCCAGGUGCCGGGCUGGGAGCUGGGGCUGAUCUGGGGCACCGGCAUGAGUGACGUCACCUCAUCUCCCGGCGCACCGUCGCCUCCCAUCCGGCCACCGGUGUUGAUGCAGCUUUCAGAAGACGUCAUCACUCUUCUCACCAACUUCGCCAAGUCGGGGGAUCCCAAUCUUCCCAGGGAGUCUCCUUCGCCGGGCUUUGCCGCCGUGGCGUGGCCGCGCUACAUGCCAGACACGCGGCAGUACCUCAAGAUAGGUGUGCCGCCCACGGUGGGCUCUCAGUACCGCGCCCACCAGCUGGCCCUCUGGACGUGGCUGGUGCCGGAGCUGGAGGCGGCGGGGAAGUCGUACCCGCCGGACCCCAAGUCGUGGGAGCUGAGCACCGACCCGCACCUCUUCUACGGUGUCGUCAAGCCCCCCGACCCCUGGUACUUCAUGCAGCCCAACACUACCGCUACCACUGCCGCCGCCGCUGCCGCCGCUGCUGCCGCUGCCGCCCAUGAAACUACCACCCCGACCCUGUCAGUGACCCCCUCCCCCCAGGCCACCACGCCGCGGGUCACCACCACUCUUGCACUAUCGCCGACAAUCGCCAGCAGCGGCCCCAAGAUGCCUCUCCCCGACGUCAGCGAGUACGUGCGAUACUCCACGGCGCUGCUGGUGACGGUGGGGCUGGGGGUCUCCCUCCUGCUGCUGAACGGCCUUAUCUUCCUGCUGCUGUUCUGGCGGCGGCCCUCGCAGCACCCUCCCUGCCAGGGGCAUCACCUUCACGCUCAGGAGGGGGCUGAGAUCCCUCGGGUGGGCUCUGUCAUGAGCCUGGGAGGGCUGGGCGGCACCUACGGCGGCCCGCCCGACUGCGUGAAGGCGUCCUACGAGAAGCUUCACUUGACUUCGGACGAGCUGCAACACCUCACAAGCAGGUCCCCGUCGAGUACCCUAAAGAGACCCAAGUCCCCAGGAGCCCUCAAGUCACAAGGCUCCUUCAGGGCUCCCACGGGCGUUGCCACCAUCAGUAGGUCUCCCAGGGGCGCCAACAGGGAGACGUCCUUCACCAUAGAGCCUCCGACGCUACUGAGGGAGGGCGGCGCCGACUCCCGCCCGCCGCGCACCCAAUCCGUUGCGACGAUUGACCAAGCCAGCCAGGAGGAGGCGCAGCGGGCGUGGACGGUGGUGAGGGACCUUCCGCCGGGUGAGGUGGUGUGCGCGGCGGACCCUGGGUGCGGCAUGCCGGGCGGGGGCGGCGACGGGCGGCCUAACGGGUGGGCGACCUUCGUUGGGGAUGUGCCCGAGCCGCCGCCGCCGCCCAGGACCUCCACCCUCAGGAAGGAGAAAAAGGUCACCAUCCUCGAACAGGCCGUCCAGAGGUUAUGAUAAAGCCCCGCCCAGCCCCGCCCACCCCAGCCCCGUGCCACCCUUCACCCAUUCCAUCACGACCCCGACCCUGCAGCCCUGCACCGCACUGCCCCGCCACGCCCCACACCACUCCCUCCACCCGUCCCUGCCACCACUUCUCCACUCCUCCACCGCCACUCCAACAGCACCGCUCACGCCCUAAUUCUCACACUUACUGCCAUCCACUCCGCCUCAACUUUCCUCCUUCCACCCCGGCAUCUCUGCGUUCAUUUUUCUCUGUCUUCAUUCCUCACCUCUCAACAUUACUCUUUAUUUCCUCACUUUCCGUUAAUCUCACACUUUCCGUCUCUUGAAAGUUUUUGGUCUCAUUCUUUUUCUGGCUUUCUCUCUCUCGUUACUCUCUCCAUCUUUCUUUAGUUUAGUGAGUCAUUAGGUCCGUCUCUUUCCUCCGCUGCCUCUAAUCUCUUGCGCUAACUUCAUCAUUAGAAGAAUAAACGAUUUUUUGUUAUGCUGUUCCUUCACAACCAACCUCACAAUCUUCUGUACAUUUCCUACAAUCAAAAACUUUAAACUUUUACCGUCUUGAGGUGUGGUGAAGGGUGUUCCUAAAUUACAUCACGCCACACAAAUUCAAUAUAUACUUUUUUGUGUCUAUAUAUCCUACCUCUUCUUCCCCCCUUUUCCUUAACACGUAGACAAUUUUUUACCCAUACUGAACGCCCUAGUCCCCCUUUCCUCUCCUUCCACCGCCACCAUCUUCCCCUUAUCCUCAUCCAGUAUUCUUACCUCACCUCGUCACACCAAUAUUUCCCUGUCAUUCUUACCCUCACCCAAUUGUUACUGCCCUUCCCCCACUCACCCCUCACACCCUCAUCGCCCACACGACAUCCUUCAACUUCACCAAACAUUCACCCAAGUCCCCAAAUACAACAAUUCACCAUCUUUCUCCCCGAACAACAUCUCCUUCAUCCUCUUUUCUCACUUUUCCAUUUUUAUUAUUUGCUCCCUCCUCUUCCUCCCCCUCCCCUUCCUCCCCCUUCGUCGCCCCCUCCUCGCCGUUCCUCGUCACCACGCACUCUCCUGACCUCGGCCGAGACUCUCCCUUUGUCCUCUCGCUGACAAGCGUUAAUAUGGUCAAAAAGAAAACUCAAGGAAAACCUCAACAUUCGCCCACCUCGCGAAAAGGAAAAACUCAUUACGUCGCCAGAGCUGAACAUGACCUAUUCUUCUCUUUCUAUCGCCACCAGUGUUGUGAGAUUACUAUGGCCCCCCUCCUUGCUCUCCUGACUGUUGAACACGUGUAAAUGUCCCAAGGUCUCUCGGUUACAAAGUGAGGAUCAGUUGUACGUCAUGUUUGCGCGGAGACCAAGCCGAGACGAGGCACGCGAAGGACAGGACGCCGGAUGGCCGCGGGAGAGAUAUGAGUGAUGGGAGAAAUUUGUGAGAAGCCUUCGAGAUUGGUCCAUCAAGGCUGAAGAGAGGGACGUGUGUGAUGUGUGACUCAAGUGACGCAGCGGCUGAUUGAGGAACGGAAGGCAAACGGCGCACUGAUGAAAUCCAUGCCGGGAAAACGGAAAAUAACGGAGAAAAAUAACGGUGACUGGAGAAAAAAUACAUAUUGAAAACCUUUCGGAAAAAGGGAAACAAAACAAAACAACGCCUGGAUAUCCUAACAACUUUGGAAUUGUGUUUCGACGAACAGGAAGAAAGAAAAACGUGGUGAAAUCCGAUGAUGAGACGCUGAAUCAAGUUUUCCCGAUGGAGAAAGUUUUGAGUGCCAUCCGCAGAACAGGUGAAGCAGGAAAAAAACAAGUGAAACAGAGGAACACCAUUCAGAUAAAAGAAAACACCCACCCGUGUGCCCCACGUGUGCCGAAAGUGUCAUAAAAAAGAAAAACAAAAUAUAAAGGAUGGGGAGAAGAGGAAAACUCCGCCGAGUGUUGGAGUAAAAUCGGUUUUGCUCGGUGCAGUCCGUCUCUACCACUAUUUUGUAACCCGGUUCUGUUAUCAUGUUCGUUGAGUAAAGUAAGAGUUAUA